CGUGCAGCCGGGUCUGCAAGUCAGAUGUGAAAUCCAUGGGCUCAACCCAUGAACUGCAUUUGAAACUGUAGAUCUUGAGUGUCGGAGGGGCAAUCGGAAUUCCUAGUGUAGCGGUGGAAUGCGUAGAUAUCGGGAGGAACACCAGUGGCGAAGGCGGCCUACUGGGCACCAACUGACGCUGAGGCUCGAAAGUGUGGGUAAGCAAACA
This 208-nucleotide ribosomal RNA is filed under the name uncultured bacterium. Its description in RNAcentral is "partial 16S ribosomal RNA". It matches the Rfam family "Bacterial small subunit ribosomal RNA", at positions 568 to 774 of the family's 1533-position model. The record is from RNAcentral.